Non-coding RNA from Odocoileus virginianus texanus, 436 nucleotides. Lineage: Eukaryota; Metazoa; Chordata; Mammalia; Artiodactyla; Cervidae. The record is from RefSeq and is a predicted model, not a curated record.
CAAAAUAAUGAACUGGGUUUGCUGGAGAAAAUAUGAGGCCGAGGGAGCUUGAUCCUUUGCGUACACAGUUGGCCAGUGGGCUUAUGAUAGAUCUGAGGUCCUCGGGGAGAUGAGGAGCACGGGCAGUUCUCAGAGCUUCUGGCAAUCCACAAGGACAUCAUUUCUACUCUGCAUGGUCUCUUCAAGUCUUGGUUGAGAAAUAUUAACGUGAUAGAAAUUACUCUGUCCUUAUCUCUGAAGGGGCUGCAUUGACCAAACAAUCCCAACCUGAGCUAAAUCUUCUAAUAAAACUAAAUACAAAUGGGAGCCAGAGAGCAGUUAUUAUUCAAGACCUAAAAUGGAAGAGAAGAAGAAAAAAAAAAAGGAAGAAAGUAGAAGGAAAGAAGGAAGAAAACAGACAAUUAUUCAUUCAUUGUACACACACCAAGUAUGUGUC